AUUGAACGCUGGCGGCAUGCCUUACACAUGCAAGUCGAACGGCAGCGCGGGGCAACCUGGCGGCGAGUGGCGAACGGGUGAGUAAUAUAUCGGAACGUGCCCUGGAGUGGGGAUAACGUAGCGAAAGUUACGCUAAUACCGCAUACGAUCCAAGGAUGAAAGCAGGGGACCUUCGGGCCUUGUGCUCCUGGAGCGGCCGAUAUCUGAUUAGCUAGUUGGUGGGGUAAAAGCCUACCAAGGCGACGAUCAGUAGCUGGUCUGAGAGGACGACCAGCCACACUGGAACUGAGACACGGUCCAGACUCCUACGGGAGGCAGCAGUGGGGAAUUUUGGACAAUGGGGGCAACCCUGAUCAGCAAUGCCGCGUGUGUGAAGAAGGCCUUCGGUUGU
This 391-nucleotide ribosomal RNA is filed under the name uncultured bacterium. Its description in RNAcentral is "bacterial SSU rRNA". It matches the Rfam family "Bacterial small subunit ribosomal RNA", at positions 30 to 426 of the family's 1533-position model. The record is from RNAcentral.